Molecule: ribosomal RNA, 497 nt
Filed under: uncultured bacterium
Lineage: Bacteria
Description: partial 16S ribosomal RNA
Rfam family: Bacterial small subunit ribosomal RNA
Source: RNAcentral
GACGAACGCUGGCGGCGUGCCUAAUACAUGCAAGUAGAACGCUGAAGCGAGGAGCUUGCUCUUCUUGGAUGAGUUGCGAACGGGUGAGUAACGCGUAGGUAACCUGCCUUGUAGCGGGGGAUAACUAUUGGAAACGAUAGCUAAUACCGCAUAACAAUGGCUGACACAUGUCAUUUAUUUGCAAGGGGCACUUGCUCCACUACAAGAUGGACCUGCGUUGUAUUAGCUAGUAGGUGAGGUAAUGGCUCACCUAGGCGACGAUACAUAGCCGACCUGAGAGGGUGAUCGGCCACACUGGGACUGAGACACGGCCCAGACUCCUACGGGAGGCAGCAGUAGGGAAUCUUCGGCAAUGGGGGCAACCCUGACCGAGCAACGCCGCGUGAGUGAAGAAGGUUGUCGGAUCGUAAAGGUCUGUUGUAAGUCAAGAACGGGGGUGAGAGUGGAAAGUUCACACUGUGACGGUAGCUGACCAGAAAGGGACGGCUAACUACGUG